CAUGUCUUAAUUUGGAAAAC
RNAcentral lists this non-coding RNA (20 nucleotides) under Rattus norvegicus (Norway rat). Lineage: Eukaryota; Metazoa; Chordata; Mammalia; Rodentia; Muridae. The record is from RNAcentral.